CCUUUCCAGGCUGGGAGUAAACAUAGGCCGCCUUUCCAGAUCAGGUGAGCAUUGCCACCUGGCAGGGAGGAGGCACGGAUUCGUUGCAGGAGAAAGAACUUGAGCUUGGGGCAGGAGGAAAAAUGAGAACUUGAGUUCAAGGGCUGCCACUGCCGCCAUGAAAUGAAGUAUCUGACUGGGACUUUUUGUUUUUACAUCAGGGAAAGCUGCUUUAAGGCAAUCCUGUUUCCUAUGUCUUUCAUGUUCCACUGUCCUGUGAUCUGGGGACAGAGUAGGGGAACAAGAUUGAGCUGAUCUCUGACUUUCUGGAGCUACACUGGAGUUGGGGAGAUGGACGGAUGGUACACCAUGGACCGAGCAGAGAGAAAGAUGGCUCCGAAGGAAACCAAAAAGGGUGGGAAGAUCAGGACUGGCCUAUUUUGGAUCCGGAGGUAAUGGGACGUCUUCCUGAGGAGAGGAUGCUUUAAAACGAGUCAGGAAUGAAGAGAAGGGGCCUGCAGGCCCUCAGUGGAUUGGAUGAUGCCUACUGGUGAGGGUGACCUUCUUUACUCAUCUACUGGUUGAAACGCUAGUCUCUUCCAGAAACAUCCUCACAGACACAUCCAGAAGUAAUGUUUUACCAGGCUUCUGUAGAUGUUAACUUAGACUUGCAGCAGGAGACUGGUUUUGUGUGAGUUUGCCUGGGGAAGAAAAUGGAGGUUCCACUAUCUUCUGGGAGUUUUCCGUGGGCACUGACAGCCUGCUCGUGUGCCCAGGGCCGAAAUCUGUUAUUCCAUCUCAAUCCUAGAACCCACGAUCACAGCUCAUCCUGGGUUUAAAGGAGGGCCUAUGAGAUGAGAAGCUUUUUGGACAUAUGACCAACAUUCAGAUAAAACACCUGCUCCCACCGAGAACCUUCAAAGCCAAUUUCAUCUGCUUUUGGCCCCUUCAGAGUAGCUGCAAUUGAAGGAUAAAUGCUCCAUGCCAGUUGGUGUUUGUUCAGAGGACACUGGAAGAAGAGGGACAAAGGUGGCCUGGAUGUUGAUCCGCGAGCCUAAGUCUAUGGUUCUCUGAAGCAAAGGUGCCAGUGAAGUUGCUUCAUAAAAAAAAAAAAAAAAAACAAACCUUCCAGAAUCUUCCAUUGGAGAAUUGUCACCUGUAAAGACCUCUGAGAGGUGUCACGGACCAGAACAUCACCCUUAAAAUAAAAGUGCAUCUGUGCCGGGAAGCCAGAGGAGAUCAGCGUUUCUUUAUUUGGAUCAGUGUUGAGAGCGAAAGAGCAGACUUGAACAUGGGCGGCGGAAGCGAUCUACCCCCCAACUGUUUUGAGGGACCCCUCGGAAUCUGCCGUGAUGUGGUCCCCCCCCCCCGUGUCAUUUUUACCACCCUUCCUCCUACAGACACAGUUGCCUGGCUUUCUGCAGCCCUGAGACUGUCAAAUAUGACCUGAGAGCAAGGUUCCGGUCCUGGCGGCUCCUUCAGAAGAUGUGUGACCUUUCUGGGUUUCGAUUUCAUCACCUGCAGGAAGAGGGGGUCUGACUAGGAGAACUCUAACAUCCCUUGGGGAUAUAACAGCUGAAGAGCUAUUUUCUCCGGUACCAACGCCCAAUGAAGCCAAGGGAAGGGAGCCCAUGCUGCCUUUCUUUGGAGUCCUUGGUCUGGGCUCUCAUGCAUGGACAUGGCCAUCAGGUGGCCUGGAAUCACAUUUACAAUGGAGACUCUGGUUCAGUAAGUCCGAGGCGGGGGCUGAGACAUUUGCUUUUCUGACAGCUGUCAGAUGAGGUAGCAACUUGGGACAGUAAGGCCUCGGGCAGUAGGCUAAGUGGAGCGCCGGGGUUGGUGUGGUUUCUUCAGCGCUGGGUGUCCACACAGCCCGAGUGCGUUGUUGUUCGGUGUUUGAACAAAUUCAUGCCGGGAUGGGGGGGGGGGAGCAUUGGAGAGCAGGGUAAGCCAUGGUCUCAUCGUCACCAUCUCCCAUAUUACUUCAUUUUUGUCUUCUUUUUUCUUUUUAAAGAUUUUUUGUUGUUGUUGUUUUUAAGCAGUCUCUACAUCCAGCGCGGGGGUCGAACUCACAACCCUGAGAUCAAGAGUCGCACGCUCUACACUGAGCCAGCCAGGAAGCAGGAGGGAGGCAGAGACUUAGGGCAGGCACGGGGUGGGAAGAAGCAGGUAUCUCUGCUUCACGUCUGGCUCCUGAUUCAUCAUUUGGAGACCAUAGCUCUCCAGCACAUACUCUUUCAUGCUUUCUUUCCUCCCCCUGUUGGUUCCUCUUUCAUGUCCAUUUCAACCACAGCCAAUUAUUUAGAGGGAGUGCAGGGUUCUGCACAGCGUGACUGUGGCUCAAAACACCACCGUUUUGUGGAGGGAGCGCUGGGCUGGGAGGCAAAAUAUAUGGGUGAUAUUCUGGCUGGCCCACUGACCAGGGCAGUGAAUGACGAUCCAUCAAAUGCUCUGAGCUCUGAAGUAGGAAGGACCCUUCCAGCCUAACUGUUCACAGGACAUAAUGUUUGUCAUUAUGUCAUACUCCACAUGUAGGUUAAUGUGAGUUUGAGUUUUUACUCUGCUGUCCCAGGGAUAGUCCUCUCUGGGGGCCAGAGAUCCUGCCCCAGGCUUCUCUUGCCACCCUGGGCUCUCUUGGGUAUGAACUUAGAGAGAAGCAAGUUCUCGCCCGCUUCCCUCUCUGUCUCCCUCCCUGCCUCCCUCCCUCUUUUUCUGCUCUUUUUUUUUUUUAUUAAGUUUAUUGAUUUAUUUUGAGAGAGAGAGAGGUCAUGAGCGGGGGAGGGACAGAGAGAAAGAAGAAAGAGAAUCCCAAGCGGGCUGUGCACUGUCAGUGCAGAGCCUGAUGCGGGGCUCGAUCUCACGGACCGUGAGAUCAUGACCUGAGCCGAAGUCGGAUACGUAACUGACUGAGCCACCCAGGCGCCCUGGAAAUGUUCGCUUUUUGCAUGUAAUCUAUUCUGAGCACACAAAUUCCCCGAACUUUACUGAUAAGAAUCAACUUGGGCUCUUGAGAAGCUCCACCAUUUCCAGGCAGUUUCCCUGAGUCAGCAGGUCCCGGAGGGGGCAGGGGGCAGUGAGAAUCAAUCCUCCCGUCCUGUUCUCCUUUUCUCUGUCUUUUCAAAGACUUCCAAUUGGUUCUUAUUUUCAGAGAGGUUUAGGAAAGAGUGUUUGGUGCAAGGUUCCUGGUGUGGCUGCAUUUUGGGUCACCUGGGAAAAGUCCUGAUGUCUGGGUGACACUCCAGAUCAGAAAGGCUGGGGAUAGGACCCUGCAUCAGUAAUGUUUAAUAUCCCCCCAGGGCAUUCCCAGGUGAAGUCUGGGUUCAGAAGCUCUGGCUCCAUUUCUGACUGACUCACACAGCCCAAGGAAGAAGUCGGGGGAGCCCACCACCUCGUUUGUAGGCCAGUGAUUCCCUAACGUGACCACACAUUAGAACCGUGCAGGCACCUUUUGAAACUCCUGAUGCCUAGGUCACACUUUAUACCAAUCAAGUCAGAAUGUCUGGGGGUGGGAGCCCGGCAUCAGGAUGUUUUAAAGAUCCCGGGUGAUCCCCCUGUGCAGCAGAGCCCAGAUUCUAUGUGGAUGCAAGUUUCGGUGAUGAACCAUGUGGCCCAGGCCUUCAGCUUUGCUGCUACUGAGGAUAGGCUGCCUUUCCCCCUUGGUCUUGAAGCACCCCCAAAUCUGCUGGGGAGUUCUGUCCCAUCUUCACAGGGACUUCCUAGCAGCGGACCCCGUUAGCACCAAGCAGGAGGAGCCUCUGCCUAAGCGUGUAGCAUUUCUUCCUCUCCUGUAGACAACCACCUGCUGACCUAGGAGAGGGACUUUUCUUAGUAUACAGUGUGCUGCUGAAUUAGGGUGAAAUUCACAUGACGUGGUAAGUUUUCAUGGGCACAGCCACUCUAGUUGAUUUACCUACUAUCUAUGCGUGCUUUGGCAUUCUAACGCCGUGAGUCGUCAUGACAGAACCAAAAGCCUGCAAGGACUAAAACACUCACGAUAUUUUGGGGAAUCUUUGUCAUAACCCCGUGUAUGGAAAUUCUGAAGUUUCAACAUAGUUUAUUAUUUUUUUUUCAUGACAUAACUUAUAAGCUCAGCUAGAUGAACGCAUAGGAUGGAAAAGCUAUGAAAAUUUGGAAACAGAAGAGUAGGGAGGGGACACUUGCCCUUCCCCUAGUGAGGGAGAUAGUACAUAUGUCAUGGAGCUGUAUUAACUAAAGGGUGUGGUGCUGGUGCAGAUAUAAGCAGGUCAAUGGAAAAGACCAGAAGUUGAGAUUGAGGUGGCGUUUCAGGCCGCUCAGGAGGAGAGAGAUUCGUCUGUAGAAGGCGUUAGACACAUUUCAUUGAGACUGGCCGUGUAGAAAUCAGGAAGCUGGGGGGCGCCUGGGUGGCUCAGUCGGUUGAGCGUCCGACUUCGGCUCAGGUCAUGAUCUCACCGCUUGUGAGUUCGAGACCCGCGUCGGGUUCUGUGCUGACAGCUCAGAGCCUGGAGCCUGCUUCGGAUUCUGUGUCUCCCUCUCUCUCAGCCUCACCCCCACUCGUACUCGGUGUCUCUCUCUCUCUCUCUCAAAAAUAAACAUUAAAAAAAGAAAUCAUGAAGCUGGAUCUCCUUUGAAAUACAUUCCAGAGGAAUAAAAUAUUUAAAUGUAUAGAAAAAAUAAAAAAGUAUCAGAAAAAAAACACAUUGGUGACUACCUUAGUAAGUGUGUAGUAGAAAACUUCUUCUAAGCUUAACAGAAAAGAGGCAAUAGAAAGCAAAAAACUGAUUAACUUGGCUAAAAUGUAAAAUUUUUAUACUAGAAAAGUAAUGCAAGAAAAGCUUUAAAGAUAGAGCGGAAUUAACCUCAGAAAAGUACUUUUUGUUAUAGACAAAUGGUUAAUAUCUCUAAGCGUAAAAAAAUGGAUGAGAAGCUGAAAAGGACAAAAUAAAUAAGGGGGAAAUAAAUAUACAAACUGGUAAUAAUGCAGUGAAUGCAAAUGGCCAGUGAGCAUGAUACUGUUCACCUUUGCAAAUGAUUAAUGUCAAUGCAACGUUAGCUUGAAUAAGAUAUCUUUUUUGUUGUUGUUUCUUUCGUUGACGAAGUUGAAAAAAAAAUCAAGAUUCCACUGUGAUGGUAAGGGUGUGGGGAAAAAGGCUUUGCAAUACAUUCUUGGGUUCAGUAUUUUUGGAGGGAAGCUGAUGGUACAGAUCACAUUUAUAGAUGCAAAUACCUUUUGUAAAUACUGUCCUCAACCUGACAUCUUGGGCAUUUGGUUUAUAGAAAACCAACAUAAAGAUGUUCCUUGUGGACCCCAUGAGUAAAAAUUAGCGCCGUAAACAACAGAAAUAGAAAAAAAAAAAAGAUGGUCCCCGCUGCAGUGAAGAGCUGGAAACCGUCUCAGUUCUCAUCAGCAGGUUUUAAUUUUAUUUAUUUUAUUAAAAAAUUUUUAAAGAUUUUUAUAUUAAUUCCACUCAGUUAACAUAUCGUGUAAUAUUAGCUUCAGGUGCAUAAUAUAGUGAUUCAACACUUCCAUACAUCACCCUGUGCUUAUCAAGUAGGUUUUUUUAGCCCAUUUUAUGGAAGUUGACACGUAAAAUCUGUGCAUAUUUAAUGUAUACAACUUGGUGAGUUUGAGGAUAAAUGUAGACCCAUGAGACCAUCACUGACAGGAUCAUAGCCACAGCCACCACCUCCCAAAGUUUCUUCCUGCAUUAUUACCACUACUAUUUUAUUUUUUUGUGGUAAGAUCACUUAGCACGAUAUCUACCCUCUUAGCAAGUUUUCAGUGUAUAAUAGCCAAAUUCUGGAAAGAGCCUACGUGUCCAUCAACUGAUGAGUGGAUAAAGAAAUUGUGGUUUAUAUAUACAAUGGAAUACUACUUGGCAAUGACAAAGAAUGAAAUCCCGCCGUUUGCAGCAACGUGGAUGGAACUGGAGGGUAUUAUGCUAAGUGAAACGAGUCAGGCAGAGAAAGACAGAUACCAUAUGUUUUCACUCAUGUGGAUCUUGAGGAGCUUAACAGAAGACCAUGGGGGAAGGGAAGGGGUAAAAAAAAGUUACAAACAGAGAGGGAGGGAGGCAAACCAUAAGAGACUCUUAAAUACAGAGAGCAAACUGAGGGUUGAUGGGGGUGGGAGGGAGGGGAGGGUAGGUGAUGGGCAUUGAGGAGGGCACCUGUUGGGAUGAGCACUGGGUGUUGUAUGGAAACCAAUUUGACAACAAAUUAUGUAUAAAAAAAAGAAUUGUUAGCUAUAGGGACUGUGUUAUACAGUAGAUCUCCAGAAUUUAUGUAUCUUGCGGAACUGAAACUUUGCAUGCUUAACCGUCAUCUCCCCAUUCCCUGCCCCCCCCGUACCCCUCCCCCAGUAGGACUUGAUACAAUAAGUUGUGAUGUAUCCAUAUGAUGGUUUUCCAAGGAGCCAUUGCAAGAGAGGUGGAGUUUUCAACAUUGAUAUAGAUUCU
Molecule: long non-coding RNA, 6416 nt
Organism: Acinonyx jubatus (cheetah)
Lineage: Eukaryota; Metazoa; Chordata; Mammalia; Carnivora; Felidae
Exons: 6
Source: RefSeq, a predicted model, not a curated record